Molecule: ribosomal RNA, 444 nt
Filed under: uncultured bacterium
Lineage: Bacteria
Description: bacterial SSU rRNA
Rfam family: Bacterial small subunit ribosomal RNA
Source: RNAcentral
CCAGACUCCUACGGGAGGCAGCAGUCGGGAAUAUUGCGCAGUGGAGGAAACUCUGACGCAGUGACGCCGCGUGCAGGAAGAAGGUUUUCGGAUUGUAAACUGCUUUCGACAGGGAAGAAACAAGACAGUACCUGUAGAAUAAGCUCCGGCUAACUACGUGCCAGCAGCCGCGGUAAUACGGAGGAUGCGAGCGUUAUCCGGAUUCAUUGGGUUUAAAGGGUGCGCAGGCGGGCCUUUAAGCCGGCGGGGAAAGCGGGGGGCCCACCCCCGCCGAGCCGUCGGAACUGGGGGCCUUGAGUGCGGCGGAGGCAUGCGGAAUGCGCGGUGUAGCGGUGAAAUGCAUAGAUAUCGCGCAGAACCCCGAUUGCGAAGGCAGCGUGCCGUGCCGCCACUGACGCUGAGGCACGAAAGCGCGGGGAUCGAACAGGAUUAGAUACCCGUGUA